Molecule: unclassified non-coding RNA, 186 nt
Filed under: soil metagenome
Description: partial contains 5.8S ribosomal RNA, internal transcribed spacer 2, and large subunit ribosomal RNA
Source: RNAcentral
AACGCACGAGACCUGCGGACCUGCGGAGGGAUCAUUAACAAAUCCAAUAUCUUGUGAAGAGGGCGACCUCUUUACGAAUAUUAAGCCGCCAGGUCUUAGGACUUGGUAGUUGAUACAUAAAUGCAUGUUUUGUUGACAGUGUGUGAGUGAUUUUUAAUUAUUGACAACUUUCAGCAAUGGAUCUCU